UCAGGCAUUCUGUCCAGUGUUCACCUGUGU
RNAcentral lists this non-coding RNA (30 nucleotides) under Rattus norvegicus (Norway rat). The record is from RNAcentral. Lineage: Eukaryota; Metazoa; Chordata; Mammalia; Rodentia; Muridae.